GACGAACGCUGGCGGCGUGCUUAACACAUGCAAGUCGAACGAUGAAGCCCAGCUUGCUGGGCGGAUUAGUGGCGAACGGGUGAGUAAUACGUGAGUAACCUGCCUUUAACUCUGGGAUAAGCCUUGGAAACGGGGUCUAAUACCGGAUACGACCAACCCUCGCAUGRGGUGUUGGUGGAAAGGGAUUUUGUACUGGUUUUAGAUGGGCUCACGGCCUAUCAGCUUGUUGGUGAGGUAACGGCUCACCAAGGCGACGACGGGUAGCCGGCCUGAGAGGGUGACCGGCCACACUGGGACUGAGACACGGCCCAGACUCCUACGGGAGGCAGCAGUGGGGAAUAUUGCACAAUGGGCGCAAGCCUGAUGCAGCGACGCCGCGUGAGGGAUGACGGCCUUCGGGUUGUAAACCUCUUUCAGCAGGGGAGAAGCGAAAGUGACGGUACCUGCAGAAGAAGCGCCGGCUAACUACGUGCCAGCAGCCGCGGUAAUACGUAGGGCGCGAGCGUUGUCCGGAAUUAUUGGGCGUAAAGAGCUUGUAGGCGGUUUGUCGCGUCUGCUGUGAAAGCCCGGGGCUUAACCCCGGGUUUGCAGUGGGUACGGGCAGACUAGAGUGCAGUAGGGGAGACUGGAAUUCCUGGUGUAGCGGUGAAAUGCGCAGAUAUCAGGAGGAACACCRAUGGCGAAGGCAGGUCUCUGGGCUGUAACUGACGCUGAGAAGCGAAAGCAUGGGGAGCAAACAGGAUUAGAUACCCUGGUAGUCCAUGCCGUAAACGUUGGGCACUAGGUGUGGGGAACAUUCCACGUUUUCCGCGCCGUAGCUAACGCAUUAAGUGCCCCGCCUGGGGAGUACGGCCGCAAGGCUAAAACUCAAAGAAAUUGACGGGGGCCCGCACAAGCGGCGGAGCAUGCGGAUUAAUUCGAUGCA
Molecule: ribosomal RNA, 925 nt
Filed under: Rothia sp. R-23177
Lineage: Bacteria; Bacillati; Actinomycetota; Actinomycetes; Micrococcales; Micrococcaceae
Description: bacterial SSU rRNA
Rfam family: Bacterial small subunit ribosomal RNA
Source: RNAcentral